AGCGAACGCUGGCGGCAGGCUUAACACAUGCAAGUCGAGCGGGCCUUUCGGGGUCAGCGGCGGACGGGUGAGUAACGCGUGGGAACGUGCCCUCUGGUUCGGAAUAACUCAGGGAAACUUGAGCUAAUACCGGAUACGCCCUUUUGGGGAAAGGCUUGCUGCCGGAGGAUCGGCCCGCGUCUGAUUAGCUAGUUGGUGAGGUAACGGCUCACCAAGGCGACGAUCAGUAGCUGGUCUGAGAGGAUGAUCAGCCACACUGUGACUGAGACACGGCCCAGACUCCUACGGGAGGCAGCAGUGGGGAAUAUUGGACAAUGGGUGCAAGCCUGAUCCAGCCAUGCCGCGUGAGUGAUGAAGGCCUUAGGGUUGUAAAGCUCUUUUAUCCGGGACGAUAAUGACGGUACCGGAGGAAUAAGCCCCGGCUAACUUCGUG
RNAcentral lists this ribosomal RNA (433 nucleotides) under uncultured bacterium. RNAcentral describes it as "partial 16S ribosomal RNA". It matches the Rfam family "Bacterial small subunit ribosomal RNA", at positions 29 to 507 of the family's 1533-position model. The record is from RNAcentral.